AACGAACGUUGGCGGCGUGCCUAAUACAUGCAAGUCGAGCGAGAAACGGGUAGCAAUACCCGGAGUACAGCGGCGAAAGGGUGCGUAUGACAUGAAGAACGUACCCCUCCGUUCGGGAUAACCCCGCGAAAGCGGAGCUAAUACCGGAUACGGUCCCCCUCAUGCAUAUGGAGGGAUGAAAGUACGCAAGACGCGGAAGGAGCGCUUCAUGGCC
Molecule: ribosomal RNA, 214 nt
Filed under: uncultured bacterium
Lineage: Bacteria
Description: partial 16S ribosomal RNA
Rfam family: Bacterial small subunit ribosomal RNA
Source: RNAcentral